UCAUUGUUUCUUAUUCUUUUUCUCUCCAAGCAUAUCGCCCCAUCUUAUCCCAAACCAGGUAGAACACGAGCUCAAUACUGAUCUACUGCGAGGUUGAAUUGGAGUUGGAUUUGAAGACAGAAAUCAACUUGGAGAUGGGAUUGAAGAUAGAGUCGCAAUUAUAUUCUUGCCCAAGGAGGAUUUCAGAGCCUGCAAUUGAGAUUUCUGCACACAAACCGGCGACUCGGGGAAUUGAAUAUUGUUUUCUGGUGUUGUGAGGUCGAACAAGGCAAAGGUACACCUUGGGUUGCGAAAGCAAUACUCCUGGCUUUGACUCUUCAGGGGAAACUUUACAUCUUGUCGUAGUCCGGUAGUCAAAGCCUCUGGACUCCCAAUAUUGCUUUUGUUUUGGUGCGUCUGGUUUGGAAGCUCAAGUCGGACCAGGUGAUAGUAGUCACAGCAUUCUAAAGGUGGCCGGAGACAAGAACAGCGACUAUACCGUAGCCAAGUAUCAGAACUCCAGGAUUUAAACUCAAGGGUGAGGCCUUCUUUUAUUUACCCAUUGGCUAUUUUGAGAAUAGGUGUUUUGGAAUGGAGAUCGGGACUGGCUCUUUUUGGCUAUGGUAUUUUGAAAGGAUGCAGGGGGUAAUUAUAUGUGGUGUUUAAGUGGAAUUGACAGAGUUCCUGUGAUUAUAAGGGGCCCUCUAACAGUUCGGUGUAUUAAACAGCCAAAACUUGAGGAUAAUAUCGGCACCCUAAGGCACGCCGUAUCAAAGUUCUGAAACAGUAUUGGCACCAUAAGGCACCGCCACCGGAGCUUUGAAAGCAGUUUCGGCACCCUAAGGCACGCCGAAUGAAGCUCUGAAACAGUAUUGGCACCUAAAGGUACCGCCACUGGAGCUUUGAAAGUGGUAAAACCAUAAAGAGAUGCAGACGGAUCCUCCACCUUUGAUUCCUAUGGAGCACGCUGCGGCUUCUUCUGUCCCCUUUGCUUUCCUUCCCUUUUUUUUGUCUUUAUGCAGUGCUUUUUAUAUUGCCACGAUCAUGAGUUUGGUUUGUAUCAAACAUAGAGUUUUAGAGUUCAACUUGGAGUGAACUACCUGGGGAACUUGUAUUCCGUGAAGACUACAACUCUUGUAUUUUGUAGUUGCUUUGUAAUUUAUAUCUUGACAAAACAAGAACUCUGACGUCUUGUAAAAAUCCAAUAGACCAGCUUAAUGACUCUUGUGCUUUUUCUUU
Rosa chinensis is the source of this 1218-nucleotide long non-coding RNA. RefSeq lists it as uncharacterized. NCBI's taxonomy places the organism in Eukaryota, Viridiplantae, Streptophyta, Magnoliopsida, Rosales, Rosaceae. The record is from RefSeq and is a predicted model, not a curated record. The transcript has 5 exons.